Molecule: ribosomal RNA, 989 nt
Filed under: Fusarium oxysporum
Lineage: Eukaryota; Fungi; Ascomycota; Sordariomycetes; Hypocreales; Nectriaceae
Description: SSU rRNA
Rfam family: Eukaryotic small subunit ribosomal RNA
Source: RNAcentral
UGGCUCAUUAUAUAAGUUAUCGUUUAUUUGAUAGUACCUUACUACUUGGAUAACCGUGGUAAUUCUAGAGCUAAUACAUGCUAAAAAUCCCGACUUCGGAAGGGAUGUAUUUAUUAGAUUAAAAACCAAUGCCCUUCGGGGCUCACUGGUGAUUCAUGAUAACUCCUCGAAUCGCAUGGCCUUGUGCCGGCGAUGGUUCAUUCAAAUUUCUUCCCUAUCAACUUUCGAUGUUUGGGUAUUGGCCAAACAUGGUUGCAACGGGUAACGGAGGGUUAGGGCUCGACCCCGGAGAAGGAGCCUGAGAAACGGCUACUACAUCCAAGGAAGGCAGCAGGCGCGCAAAUUACCCAAUCCCGACACGGGGAGGUAGUGACAAUAAAUACUGAUACAGGGCUCUUUUGGGUCUUGUAAUUGGAAUGAGUACAAUUUAAAUCCCUUAACGAGGAACAAUUGGAGGGCAAGUCUGGUGCCAGCAGCCGCGGUAAUUCCAGCUCCAAUAGCGUAUAUUAAAGUUGUUGUGGUUAAAAAGCUCGUAGUUGAACCUUGGGCCUGGCUGGCCGGUCCGCCUCACCGCGUGUACUGGUCCGGCCGGGCCUUUCCCUCUGUGGAACCCCAUGCCCUUCACUGGGUGUGGCGGGGAAACAGGACUUUUACUGUGAAAAAAUUAGAGUGCUCCAGGCAGGCCUAUGCUCGAAUACAUUAGCAUGGAAUAAUAGAAUAGGACGUGUGGUUCUAUUUUGUUGGUUUCUAGGACCGCCGUAAUGAUUAAUAGGGACAGUCGGGGGCAUCAGUAUUCAAUUGUCAGAGGUGAAAUUCUUGGAUUUAUUGAAGACUAACUACUGCGAAAGCAUUUGCCAAGGAUGUUUUCAUUAAUCAGGAACGAAAGUUAGGGGAUCGAAGACGAUCAGAUACCGUCGUAGUCUUAACCAUAAACUAUGCCGACUAGGGAUCGGACGGUGUUAUUUUUUGACCCGUUCGGCACCUUACGA